Triticum aestivum (bread wheat) is the source of this 125-nucleotide non-coding RNA. The record is from Rfam. NCBI's taxonomy places the organism in Eukaryota, Viridiplantae, Streptophyta, Magnoliopsida, Poales, Poaceae.
GAAAUACUCCUUCUGUUCGGAAAUACUUGUCGGAGAAAUGGAUGAAAAUGAGUGUAUCUAGAACUAAAUUGCAUCUAGAUACAUCCAUUCCUCCGAUAAGUAUUUUCGGACGGAGGGAGUAGAAA